AGUCAACGCUGGCGGCGUGCCUCAGACAUGCAAGUCGAACGAUUAAAGCUCCCUCCGGGGAGUGCAUAGAGUGGCGCACGGGUGAGUAACACGUAAGUAAUCUACCUUCGACUGGGGAAUAACGUCCGGAAACGGCCGCUAAUACCGCAACAUGCAGCGGCAUCGCAAGAUGACAGGUGUUAAAGAUUUAUCGCUUGAAGAGGAGCUUGCGGCAGAUUAGCUAGUUGGUAAGGUAAUGGCUUACCAAGGCUACGAUCUGUAACCGGUCUUAGAGGACGGUCGGUCACACUGACACUGAAUAACGGGUCAGACUCCUACGGGAGGCAGCAGUCGGGAAUUUUGGGCAAUGGGCGAAAGCCUGACCCAGCAACGCCGCGUGAAGGAUGAAGUAUUUCGGUAUGUAAACUUCGAAAGAAUGGGAAGAAUCAAUGACGGUACCAUUUAUAAGGUCCGGCUAACUACGUGCCAGCCGCCGCGGUAA
This 481-nucleotide ribosomal RNA is filed under the name uncultured bacterium. Its description in RNAcentral is "partial 16S ribosomal RNA". It matches the Rfam family "Bacterial small subunit ribosomal RNA", at positions 32 to 523 of the family's 1533-position model. The record is from RNAcentral.